GACGAACGCUGGCGGCGUGCUUAACACAUGCAAGUCGAACGGAAAGGCUCCUGCUUGCAGGGGUACUCGAGUGGCGAACGGGUGAGUAACACGUGGGUGAUCUGCCUUGUACUCUGGGAUAAGCUUGGGAAACUGGGUCUAAUACCGGAUAAUAACUGCCUUUAGUGUGGUGGUUGGAAAGUUUUUUCGGUGCAAGAUGAGCUCGCGGCCUAUCAGCUUGUUGGUGGGGUAAUGGCCUACCAAGGCGUCGACGGGUAGCCGGCCUGAGAGGGUGUACGGCCACAUUGGGACUGAGAGACGGCCCAGACUCCUACGGGAGGCAGCAGUGGGGAAUAUUGCACAAUGGGCGGAAGCCUGAUGCAGCGACGCCGCGUGGGGGAUGACGGCCUUCGGGUUGUAAACUCCUUUCGACAGGGACGAAGCUUUUUGUGACGGUACCUGUAUAAGAAGCACCGGCUAACUACGUG
RNAcentral lists this ribosomal RNA (467 nucleotides) under uncultured bacterium. Its description in RNAcentral is "partial 16S ribosomal RNA". It matches the Rfam family "Bacterial small subunit ribosomal RNA", at positions 28 to 507 of the family's 1533-position model. The record is from RNAcentral.